This is a long non-coding RNA of Setaria italica (foxtail millet), 1245 nucleotides long. RefSeq lists it as uncharacterized. The record is from RefSeq and is a predicted model, not a curated record. The transcript has 3 exons. NCBI's taxonomy places the organism in Eukaryota, Viridiplantae, Streptophyta, Magnoliopsida, Poales, Poaceae.
GGUUGCAACAAAAAAGUUUGAGAGGGGCAGUUUCGGCCCGCGCCGGAGAUGAAGCAGCCGAGCGUCCCCGGCUUCGGUCAUCCGGUGAGGGAAAAAAAUGAGGACGAAUCCGGCCGACGACACCGCGACAACACCACCUCCCGUGGUGGACGGGCGCGGUCCCGCGGGGCUCCCCGGUGGCAGACUAGCCGCUCCGGAUAUGAAGCAGCCGAGCGUCCCCGGCUUGGGGGCGUGCUGCACCGUUACGGCGGGAGGCUAUGGCGGCGGUGGCCGAGGGGGACCUAGGAAUGGGGCUUCGCGGCCGCUGUUGCCGAGGUUGAAGCGGGAGCGUUGCCGGGGCAUGUCUGCUGCCUGCUGGUAGGUUGAUUGCGCCCACAUUGCGAAGGAUGCCAGGACGGAUUGUGCGGCCUGGAUGGCUGGAUGAAGUAAUCACUUUGGGGAGACUUCUCCGGUUGUUAGCCUGUCUUUGCACUGGGACAGUAACGCAUAGCUUCCUAAUUAAAGCCAGCUGGCUGUGACCUGGUGCUGAAGACUUUGAGAGAUUUAAAUGCAGCGGGCAAAUUGUCAAGCUGAGAAAGAUAAGCCAAAACUCAUAGCCACCGUGGCUGGAGCUAUGACUGGAUCUAUCUAUUGAAGUGAUGGUAACCUGUGGCCGCGUUGAAACUGCGUCAUGUCGAUCUGUGCAUCACUGGCAAAACUUGGUGGGGGUAGAGUUUGUAAACUCGGUCUUGUUUUAUAGUUUUUUUUUCUUUUGGAAUUCUAGAUGACAGGCCUUAUGCUGGACACUACAUUGACUAUUGAGGCAUUUGAUUUGACAGGGUUGUAAGAAGUUCCAUGAGCGAGGAUGACGUAUUGAUGUUGCUGCAUAGGAGGGAAUGAAACUUGGAUAGAGGGCGAAUUCUGUGAUUCCCUUCGUCUCAGCCGAUCCAGGGUGUCCAUGCCGGCAUGGCCUGCUGUUGGCCUGUUUGAAACUGGUUUUGUGCGAGCGGAUUACUUGAGCUGGUAACAAACAAGUGCUGAGAGUGACGGUGCCACCAAGUCCAGGCAUAGGCGCGGCAUAGGCGUUCCUGUCAGCAAUCCGAAGCCCAGGCAUAGGCGCGGCCCAGCGUCCAGGCCCAGACAGUGUCGACUCUGCUGAAAAGAAAAUGGCCGUGUCCCAAUCUCUGUUUUUCUUCUCUGUUCUUUCCUUUUUGUCAGUUUGUAUUGCAACUUUCAGGCCCCUCAAUGAAAAGACACUUGCCCUCC